GACGAACCGUGCGAACGUUAUUCGGAAUCACUGGGCUUAAAGCGCGUGUAGGCGGGUCGGCACGUCCGUGGCUGAAAGCCCCCGGCUCAACCGGGGAAGUGGCGCGGAUACGGCCGAGCUGGAGGGGGGUAGGGGGACCUGGAACUUCCGGUGGAGCGGUGAAAUGCGUUGAGAUCGGAAGGAACGCCCGUGGCGAAAGCGAGGUCCUGGACCCUUUCUGACGCUGAGACGCGAAAGCCAGGGGAGCGAACGGG
RNAcentral lists this ribosomal RNA (254 nucleotides) under uncultured bacterium. RNAcentral's name for it is "partial 16S ribosomal RNA". It matches the Rfam family "Bacterial small subunit ribosomal RNA", at positions 524 to 776 of the family's 1533-position model. The record is from RNAcentral.